This 28-nucleotide small RNA is filed under the name Bombyx mori (domestic silkworm). RNAcentral's name for it is "ovarian small RNA-11319". The record is from RNAcentral. Lineage: Eukaryota; Metazoa; Arthropoda; Insecta; Lepidoptera; Bombycidae.
ACCGCGAUGUAAUUUUGUUAGCCUGUGA